This 550-nucleotide long non-coding RNA is filed under the name Physcomitrium patens. Its description in RNAcentral is "long non-coding RNA (PPAT_LNC001073)". The record is from RNAcentral. Lineage: Eukaryota; Viridiplantae; Streptophyta; Bryopsida; Funariales; Funariaceae.
UAUAAUAACAAAAUCAUAAUUCUAAUAGAAUACUGAAACUGCUCUAAUUAGACCAUAAUAAUGUUAAGCAAGCUUAAUCAAAUUCAAAAAAUCCUCAAAGAAAUUUCAAACAAAAAAUAAGAAUUUUUAAAGAAAUAUUAGAAGAAUCACAAAUAUCACUCAAAUACAUCUCAAUUCAAUCUUAAUUCAAUUCUAAUUAAAAUCCUAUUGAACUUCAUUCAAACUUUAGGCCAAAACUAAUUAAAUCUUAAAUCCUAAUAAAAUCCUAAACCCUAAAUCAAAUCCUAGACAAACCUCAAACCAAACCCCAACCAAAUCCUAAACCAAAUCCUAACCAAACUCUAAAUCAAAUCCUAAAUCCUAAAUCAAAUCCUAACCAAAUCCUAAUCAAAAUCUUAAACCCUAAACCAAACUCUAAUCCAAAUCCUAAAUCCUAAAAGAAACCCUAACCAAACCUUAAAUCCUAAAUAAAUCCGUAAUCAAACCCUAAACCAAUUCCUAAUCCUAAUCCUAAAUCCUAAACUAAAUCUUAACUAAAUCCUCAAUCCUA